Molecule: ribosomal RNA, 460 nt
Filed under: uncultured bacterium
Lineage: Bacteria
Description: partial 16S ribosomal RNA
Rfam family: Bacterial small subunit ribosomal RNA
Source: RNAcentral
CCUACGUGCGGCAGCAGUGAGGAAUAUUGGUCAAUGGGCGUAAGCCUGAACCAGCCAAGUCGCGUGAGGGAUGAAGGUUCUAUGGAUCGUAAACCUCUUUUAUAAGGGAAUAAAGUGUGGGACGUGUCCUGUUUUGUAUGUACCUUAUGAAUAAGGAUCGGCUAACUCCGUGCCAGCAGCCGCGGUAAUACGGAGGAUCCGAGCGUUAUCCGGAUUUAUUGGGUUUAAAGGGUGCGUAGGCGGCCUUUUAAGUCAGCGGGGAAAGUCUUUGGCUAAACCAUAGAAUUGCCGUUGAAACUGGGAGGCUUGAGUAUGGUUGAGGCAGGCGGAAUGCGGGGGGUAGCGGUGAAAUGCUUAGAUAUCACGCAGAACCCCGAUUGCGAAGGCAGCCUGCCAAGCCAUGACUGACGCUGAUGCACGAAAGCGUGGGGAUCAAACAGGAUUAGAUACCCGAGUAGUC